This 253-nucleotide ribosomal RNA is filed under the name uncultured bacterium. RNAcentral describes it as "partial 16S ribosomal RNA". It matches the Rfam family "Bacterial small subunit ribosomal RNA", at positions 524 to 776 of the family's 1533-position model. The record is from RNAcentral.
GACAGAGGGUGCAAACGUUGUUCGGAAUUACUGGGCGUAAAGCGCGUGUAGGCUGCUCUGCAAGUCGGAUGUGAAAGCCCUGGGCUCAACCUAGGAAGUGCACUCGAAACUGCAGAGCUGGAGUCCUGGAGAGGAAGGCGGAAUUCUCGGUGUAGAGGUGAAAUUCGUAGAUAUCGAGAGGAACACCUGUGGCGAAGGCGGCCCUCUGGACAGUGACUGACGCUGAGACGCGAAAGCGUGGGGAGCAAACAGG